RNAcentral lists this long non-coding RNA (1308 nucleotides) under Heterocephalus glaber (naked mole-rat). RNAcentral describes it as "lncRNA (ENSHGLG00000047405.1)". Lineage: Eukaryota; Metazoa; Chordata; Mammalia; Rodentia; Bathyergidae. The record is from RNAcentral.
AUGAGGAAGUGAUUCUGAGUGUAGAGAAACAUCCACUGAAGCUGUCAGCUCUGUUUGGUGACAAGGCUGAUUUUCUCCCACACGGAGCUCAGAACAUAUUUAGAGUCAAGAAGACCUGGCACAGUGUUGAAGCAGGCAUGGAAUUAAGAGCAUCUGGUCAGCUUUUUGGAACCCAACCAAAAAUCCUGGACUAUGAAAGACAGAGACCAAAAGAGGAGGAGAAAAAUAAAAUCGAUUAGGAGGAAACAAAGACAACGUAGAAUGAAGAUAACUUAAAAAAUAAAAGUUAAACUAUUAUCAGAGAGGUACUGAAACUGGCCUUGUGGAUCUGUUGGCAGUAUGCACACAGAAAACCUACUAUCCAAAGGGCUGCUGAGAAGCUGUGUACAGACAAAGAGGAAGUGCUGUUAGGUUGGAGCAGUGGAAAGGUCAGAGUAGAGAGAACAAGAACAAUUAGUCUGACGCAGAAGAAUGAUUGCUGGAGAUUUUUUAAAUGGUUGACAUUUGUCUCUCUCUAGUGAUCUAGGUACAUGAUGCCAGUACUUGUAGAAGCAAUAUAUCAACUUGAAAAUACCUUUUUUGAAAAAAUAUGAGGAAUGAAUGCCCAUGGCCUCUCCUAACAAUUUGGUGUGGGCUGUAUCCCACUUCCCAUAAGACUCCGGCCAUUAAAAACAGCCUCAUUCCUGAGCACAGGGAGAUGGACUGUUUAAAUGAAAUGCCCCUGCCCUCCCUAAGCCUCACAGAGACUGUGAAAUGGAAUCCCAUGCCUCCACUUUGGCUUUGCUUUUGGCAGAAAAGCAAAGUGCUUUGCCCAAGGGCAUUUCUUCAGAGAACUUCCAGCGUUGCUUCCAAACCCUUCUUGUCUCACUUCACUGCUUCUGUCUUCCCACUUAGGGCUAUUGACCAGUUGCUGGAGCACUGAUUGCACAUAUGCUCGUAUUGAAAGCAAAUGGUAUCAUGAUCCUGAUAAAAUCUUAUUACAGUCUUAUUUACUAGUUUAAAAAUUUUUUCCUUAGAAAAAUUCUGUUUAAAUUUUUCUGUGCAUGAACAUAUAUCUUGAAUGAAGACAGACUGAAACUUUUGUAAGUCAUGAUUGUGGAAUAUGAAGCUAGAAAAGAUUUUAGACAUCAAAUUGUAACCUUCUUUAAUGGAUGAGAAAACAAAGGUUAAUUCCUGGAUCAUUUCAUUAAGUGGUUUAUAAAGCACAUCAGUGAACUUCUGACCACCACUUAAUCUCAUUCAUUAACUCAUCCAGGUUCAUAAACUGAAAACUACUUUGUAUUCUAUAUUGUCAAAAAAUGAUUGUAG